This 253-nucleotide ribosomal RNA is filed under the name uncultured bacterium. RNAcentral's name for it is "partial 16S ribosomal RNA". It matches the Rfam family "Bacterial small subunit ribosomal RNA", at positions 524 to 776 of the family's 1533-position model. The record is from RNAcentral.
UACAGAGGUCUCAAGCGUUGUUCGGAUUCAUUGGGCGUAAAGGGUGCGUAGGCGGCCAUGUAAGUGAGGUGUGAAAUCCCUCGGCUCAACCGAGGAACUGCGCUUCAUACUGCAUGGCUUGAGGGAGACAGGGGUAAGCGGAACUGAUGGUGGAGCGGUGAAAUGCGUUGAUAUCAUCAGGAACACCGGUGGCGAAAGCGGCUUACUGGGUCUCUUCUGACGCUGAGGUACGAAAGCUAGGGUAGCGAACGGG